This 473-nucleotide ribosomal RNA is filed under the name uncultured bacterium. Its description in RNAcentral is "bacterial SSU rRNA". It matches the Rfam family "Bacterial small subunit ribosomal RNA", at positions 19 to 518 of the family's 1533-position model. The record is from RNAcentral.
CUGGCUCAGGAUGAACGCUGGCGGCGUGCCUAACACAUGCAAGUCGAGCGAUUCACUUCGGUGAAGAGCGGCGGACGGGUGAGUAACGCGUGGGUAACCUGCCUCAUACACAUGGAUAACAUACCGAAAGGUAUGCUAAUACAGGAUAAUAUAAGAAAUUCACAUGUAUUUCUUAUCAAAGCUCCGGCGGUAUGAGAUGGACCCGCGUCUGAUUAGCUAGUUGGUAAGGUAAUGGCUUACCAAGGCGACGAUCAGUAGCCGACCUGAGAGGGUGAUCGGCCACAUUGGAACUGAGACACGGUCCAAACUCCUACGGGAGGCAGCAGUGGGGAAUAUUGCACAAUGGGCGAAAGCCUGAUGCCAGCAACGCCGCGUGAGUGAUGAAGGCCUUCGGGUCGUAAAACUCUGUCCUCAAGGAAGAUAAUGACGGUACUUGAGGAGGAAGCCCCGGCUAACUACGUGCCAGCCGCUGC